Lathyrus oleraceus (garden pea) is the source of this 2181-nucleotide RNA transcript. It is a transcript of the gene named cyclin-dependent kinase F-1, with no coding region annotated. The record is from RefSeq and is a predicted model, not a curated record. The transcript is spliced from 3 exons. Lineage: Eukaryota; Viridiplantae; Streptophyta; Magnoliopsida; Fabales; Fabaceae.
GUAUGUUCGAGAAUUCUAAUUGUACAAUCAUCCUAAACCGACUCUUACAACAAAGAAGAAAAUUUGAAUAUAUUAUUUUCCACUCACACAAAAAAUUGAAAAACUAGAACACAAUAUAAUAGUAGUAUUUAUCAAGAAAAUAAAUGAAAUUAUAUGGUAAAACAAAAGAAAUAAAAUUGAAGUAAAUAAAUGUGUAGAAGCUAUUGUUUUGUGACGUGAGUAGGACGAAGAUGGGGACGGAGCAUCCAUCCAAGAGUUGGAGCAUCCAUACCCGAUCGGAGAUCAUCGCCAAGUACAAAGUCAUGGAACGGAUCGGCUCCGGAGCUUACGCCGACGUCUACCGCGGCCGUCGUCUCUCCGACGACCUAACAGUCGCUCUCAAGGAAAUCCACGACUACCAAUCCGCUUUCCGAGAAAUCGAAGCGUUGCAGAUGCUUCAAGGCUCUUCAAACGUCAUCGUCAUGCACGAGUACUUCUGUCGCGAAGAUGAAGACGCGGUUCUCGUGCUUGAGUAUCUUACCACCGAUUUGGCAACCGUUAUUUCCAAUGCUGCCAAGGAAGGUUUUCCACUUCCUGUUGGUGAGAUGAAACGUUGGAUGAUUCAGAUUAUUUCUGGUCUUGACGCUUGUCACCGGAAUAUGAUUGUUCAUCGUGAUUUGAAACCUUCUAAUCUCUUGAUUUCGGAUAGUGGUGUUCUCAAAUUGGCUGAUUUUGGACAGGCAAGGAUACUCACCGAACCUGGAUUUGAUGCUUUUGAAGGGAAUCCACCACCAUGCGAGCAUGAUGGUUCUAAUCAUGAAAGUUCACUUCAUCACCCUGAAGCUUCUCUUCUCACCGACAACUUAAGUCAAUUUGGAUGUGGAAAUCAAGAGCAAGGAAGCAGUCAUAAUGAGUAUUUUAGUGUUUUAGAUGAGCUGAAAACAAAGAGAUCCGUGGAUGACAUUGAAAAGGAUACAAACAUUCCAGAUGGAAACACUUCUUGUCUUGCAACGUGCACAACAAGUGAUAUGGAUAAUGAUCCUAUGAGAACUUCUUUUAGUUUUGAAGCACUGGAGGAGGAAGAUAAAGAACAUGGUGGUUUCACAUCAUGUGUUGGAACUCGUUGGUUCCGGGCUCCUGAGUUGCUUUACGGAUCCAUAAACUAUGGUUUAGAAAUUGAUCUCUGGUCACUUGGCUGUAUUUUUGCAGAGCUUUUGACUCUGAAACCCUUGUUUCCCGGAACAGCUGAUAUUGACCAGCUCAGCAAAAUUAUUAAUGUUUUGGGCAACCUUGAUGAGAGAGCUUGGCCUGGCUGCUCAGAACUUCCUGAUUACAGAAUAAUCUCGUUUAGCAAGGUAGAAAACCCUCCUGGUGUUGAAGCCUGCCUGCCCAACCGCUCAGCCGAUGAAGUAUCUCUUGUUAAAAACCUGGUUUGUUAUGAUCCGGCUAGGAGGGCUACAACAAUGGAGCUACUCCAGGACAAGUACUUUAACGAAGAACCUCUUCCUGUUCCCAUUUCUGAGUUGCGAGUUCCUCUGACUAGAAAUACAGAAGAUGAGGAUUCUAUGGGUGGGUGGCAGGAUUACAAUGACAUGGGUUCUGAUUCUGAUUUCGAUGACUUUGGCCCUAUGAAUUUCACCAGAACUGACACCGGUUUCUCCAUACAGUUUCCUUGAGCUUGAUGAAUUUCAGGUACACCAUAUUCAUGGAAUCACUGUUUCCAUUUGUGUUGUUUAACUUGUAUUUUCUCACAGAACAUCAUCUGAUGUUUCCAUUUGUGCUGCUCGACUUAUAUUUUAUUCGCCAACAUCUUGUGGAGAGUCCGUUGUUUCCAUUUGUGUUUCUCGACUUAUAUUUUACUCGCGGAAAAUCAUGUGGAAAGUCUGCAGUGACGAAACUAUUUUGCAUCCAAUCUGCAAGGGAACUGAAGUCGAAGCAUAAUCUUGUGUAGCCAUGCAACCUGUUUCUGAUGUUGUAUACUCCUUGCUCUGCAGACGUAGCCUAAAGUUGGUUGUAGGUUUCUGUCUGCACUUGUGGUUAUAAUAAGUUGCUUAUGUUCUUAUUUUAUUGAUUCUGUACUUUAGAAGUUUUCUUAUAAGUAUUACUAUUAUUUUUAUUUAACAAAAGCUAUAUCUUGUGAGUUGUGAUUUGUGUAGGUACUACUAUUGAUAUUUCCCCCUCUAAUACAGAGCAAGUUAAACA